UCCUACGGGGCGCAGCAGUGGGGAAUAUUGCACAAUGGGGGAAACCCUGAUGCAGCGACGCCGCGUGAGUGAAGAAGUAUUUCGGUAUGUAAAGCUCUAUCAGCAGGGAAGAAAAUGACGGUACCUGACUAAGAAGCCCCGGCUAACUACGUGCCAGCAGCCGCGGUAAUACGUAGGAUGCGAGCGUUAUCCGGAUUUAUUGGGUUUAAAGGGUGCGUAGGCGGUCCGGAAAGUCAGCGGUAAAAGCCCGGGGCUCAACCCCGGCGAGCCGUUGAAACUGUCGGACUAGAGACGGCGAGAAGUAC
Molecule: ribosomal RNA, 305 nt
Filed under: uncultured bacterium
Lineage: Bacteria
Description: bacterial SSU rRNA
Rfam family: Bacterial small subunit ribosomal RNA
Source: RNAcentral